UACGUAGGGCGCAAGCGUUGUCCGGAAUUAUUGGGCGUAAAGAGCUCGUAGGCGGUCUGUCACGUCUGCCGUGAAAACCCGAGGCUUAACCUCGUGGCUUGCGGUGGAUACGGGCAGACUAGAGGUAGGUAGGGGAGAACGGAAUUCCCGGUGUAGCGGUGAAGUGCGCAGAUAUCGGGAGGAACACCGGUGGCGAAGGCGGUUCUCUGGGCCUUACCUGACGCUGAGGAGCGAAAGCAUGGGGAGCGAACAGG
RNAcentral lists this ribosomal RNA (254 nucleotides) under uncultured bacterium. RNAcentral describes it as "partial 16S ribosomal RNA". It matches the Rfam family "Bacterial small subunit ribosomal RNA", at positions 524 to 776 of the family's 1533-position model. The record is from RNAcentral.